UGUCAGACAAUUAAGGCCUGCAUACUUAGAAUUAUCAUUUCCAAGCAGACUUAGUACCCAGCUAAGAUAUGAAAGGAGAUCUAGUGACCUGAUCAAUAGCAGAAGGGNNNNNUGAAAUCAAAAUGGACAUGGCCUGUACAUGGUUCAUGCUCACAUUAAACUGAUCCUGUAGCAUCCUGGCCCUCUCAUCACACAUGCUUGCAAGGGUAUCUUUCCUCUUC
Molecule: unclassified non-coding RNA, 221 nt
Filed under: Hevea brasiliensis (rubber tree)
Lineage: Eukaryota; Viridiplantae; Streptophyta; Magnoliopsida; Malpighiales; Euphorbiaceae
Source: RNAcentral